RNAcentral lists this ribosomal RNA (462 nucleotides) under uncultured bacterium. Its description in RNAcentral is "partial 16S ribosomal RNA". It matches the Rfam family "Bacterial small subunit ribosomal RNA", at positions 28 to 507 of the family's 1533-position model. The record is from RNAcentral.
GACGAACGCUGGCGGCGUGCUUAACACAUGCAAGUCGAACGGAAAGGCCCUUCGGGGUACUCGAGUGGCGAACGGGUGAGUAACACGUGGGUGAUCUGCCCUGCACUUUGGGAUAAGCCUGGGAAACUGGGUCUAAUACCGAAUAGGACCACGCGCUUCAUGGUGUGUGGUGGAAAGCUUUUGCGGUGUGGGAUGGGCCCGCGGCCUAUCAGCUUGUUGGUGGGGUAAUGGCCUACCAAGGCGACGACGGGUAGCCGACCUGAGAGGGUGACCGGCCACACUGGGACUGAGAUACGGCCCAGACUCCUACGGGAGGCAGCAGUGGGGAAUAUUGCACAAUGGGCGCAAGCCUGAUGCAGCGACGCCGCGUGAGGGAUGACGGCCUUCGGGUUGUAAACCUCUUUCAAUAGGGACGAAGCGCAAGUGACGGUACCUAUAGAAGAAGCACCGGCCAACUACGUG